This 621-nucleotide ribosomal RNA is filed under the name Triticum aestivum (bread wheat). Its description in RNAcentral is "partial small subunit ribosomal RNA". The record is from RNAcentral. Lineage: Eukaryota; Viridiplantae; Streptophyta; Magnoliopsida; Poales; Poaceae.
AUGCUGCGCCACGCCGCCCGCCGCCUCGCCUCCCGCGCCGCCGCUGCCGGCAGCGGCUCCAUGAGCCGCAGGGCCCUCGCGACGGCGCAGGCGCCCGCGGAGGCGGGCGAGGACCCCGCCUUCCUGGAGGCGUGGAAGAAGGUGACAACAAUCAUCGAGCCCCCCCAGACGCCCAUGUCGGCCAUGAAGCCCCGCCCGCCCACGCCGGCCUCCAUCCCCUCCAAGCUCACCGUCAACUUCGUCCUCCCCUACAAGUCCGAGAUCACCGACAAGGAGGUUGACAUGGUAAUGGUACCGGCUACAACUGGCCUGAUGGGUAUUUUGCCAGGCCAUGUUUCCACAAUUGCAGAGCUCAAGCCUGGUGUUAUGUCUGUACAUGAGGGAAAUGAUGUUACAAAGUACUUUGUGAGCAGUGGCUUUGCAUUCAUCCAUGCAAACUCCAUUGCUGAUGUUGUGGCUGUUGAGGCUGUCCCCCUUGAUCAGAUUGACCAAAGCUUGGUCCAGAAAGGUCUUGCUGAAUUCACUGCCAAGCUUGGAUCAGCCUCGACUGACCUAGAGAAGGCGGAAGCUCAGAUCGGAGUGGAUGUUCACAGUGCGCUCAGUGCUGCAUUGACUGGUUGA